This 1513-nucleotide long non-coding RNA is filed under the name Carica papaya (papaya). RNAcentral's name for it is "long non-coding RNA (CPAP_LNC009739)". Lineage: Eukaryota; Viridiplantae; Streptophyta; Magnoliopsida; Brassicales; Caricaceae. The record is from RNAcentral.
GAAAUUCAAAAGUUUCCAACAAGAAGGUGGGCAUCAUAUUUCUUUAUUUUGACAAGUUAAAAUCUAAUUUUUACUUCCACUACUUACUACACCUCGCAAGAUCACUGAUGAAUAUCCACGAAUCAUAAAAUUAUAAAAAGAGGGUUGACAAAUCAAAGGGCAAACCAAAAAAAAAACAAAGAAAAAAGAAGGCAACGUCAGUGCGAGUUCAGGCUUGCAUAAGACAAUAUGUACACGUGUAAGGAGGAUAGUAUAGGAGGAAAGAGCGGGAAUGAAGGAGAGGCGAUCCACGUGUAAGGCUGGAUGAGGGAUACCCACAUGUGAAGAUAAGGGGCCAUGAUGAUGUUUUAGGUGGGAUCCACUUAACAAGUGGGGGCGGUGGCCGUCUGUUCCAUCCAUCGCCAGCUGCCUGCUGCCUGCUGCCUGCUGCCGGCUGAGGACGACUCUCCCUCCCUCCCACUCACUCGCUCACUCGUUUUUUGUACGAAUCGCAAUCAUUUAUGCACCUUCUCUAGUCCCCAGAGAGAUCAUGCCUCCUUGCUUUUGAUGCUGACCUGUUUUCAUCCCUUUAUUCCAAUUUUUUUCUUAAACAAAAAAUUGCAUAUCAAAUUUAUAAAUAGAUCUUCCUUCUAAUUAAACUAAUCCUCUUAUAUAGGACAAGAAAGAUCUCUAACUUCUAACUCAUUAAUCUACCUUACUUACUAUAACAAAUGAUAAUUAAACUUGAAGACAAUGGCACAUACCUAUUUUUAUGGAUAUUCAUUCCUAAAUCACGAUUGACCCUGUUUUCUUCUGAUCAUUAGAGCCUAGAGAUGGGCUGAAGCUACAAUAGUUAUUGGAGACCGUAGCAGACCAAGCCCAACGGCUUUCGUUCAUUUUGGUCUCUAUAAUAGCCAUAAGUUUUGGUAAAAAAAGAAGAGCUAAAAGGAAAAGUCAUAAGCAAAAGCUGUCCUAGGGCUUUUAUAGUCGCUUAUUUCUCAAGGACUGGACUGGAGCCCAAUGAUCCUCUAGUCCUGUUGGAAAGCUUUCUACGUCGGUCUAAGAGGCCAAGACCCAAUCCCCAUUAACAACCUAAACACACAAAUAUUAAAAAACUAUAAUGUAUAUACAUCAACCCAAACCAGAGAAUCGAAAUUCCCACGUAACUGAAUAUUCUCCUGUAGAUUCUUUUAAUGUAAUUUAAUCACCUUGUCAGAGAAGAUUGCAGCACUUUGACUUCUCUGGGUCCUGUACGAAGUCAAACUCACACCAGCCUAUAACCACCUCACCACUCCUCAUUUUACACGUCGUACAGAUCCUAAAUCCCGUCGUCGUCGUUUUUAGAGAGGAGGCUAGCCACUUGUCAAUCACCCCCCCAAAACCCAAUUGCAAUUUACACGCAUAGAGACACAUGUAAUCAAUUAAAUAAAUAAAUGAAAGCCUAAAAACCAAACUCUUAAACUUUACCGUACAAACAGAAGCAGAAGCGGAAAGCACAAGCAAGGGACAAAGAUGAAGCCAGAGACGGCGACUC